RNAcentral lists this ribosomal RNA (502 nucleotides) under Fusarium verticillioides. RNAcentral's name for it is "eukaryotic LSU rRNA". The stretch from base 135 to 288 matches the Rfam family "5.8S ribosomal RNA". The record is from RNAcentral. Lineage: Eukaryota; Fungi; Ascomycota; Sordariomycetes; Hypocreales; Nectriaceae.
ACUCCAACCCCUGUGACAUACCAAUUGUUGCCUCGGCGGAUCAGCCCGCUCCCGGUAAAACGGGACGGCCCGCCAGAGGACCCCUAAACUCUGUUUCUAUAUGUAACUUCUGAGUAAAACCAUAAAUAAAUCAAAACUUUCAACAACGGAUCUCUUGGUUCUGGCAUCGAUGAAGAACGCAGCAAAAUGCGAUAAGUAAUGUGAAUUGCAGAAUUCAGUGAAUCAUCGAAUCUUUGAACGCACAUUGCGCCCGCCAGUAUUCUGGCGGGCAUGCCUGUUCGAGCGUCAUUUCAACCCUCAAGCCCAGCUUGGUGUUGGGACUCGCGAGUCAAAUCGCGUUCCCCAAAUUGAUUGGCGGUCACGUCGAGCUUCCAUAGCGUAGUAGUAAAACCCUCGUUACUGGUAAUCGUCGCGGCCACGCCGUUAAACCCCAACUUCUGAAUGUUGACCUCGGAUCAGGUAGGAAUACCCGCUGAACUUAAGCAUAUCAAUAAGCGGAGGA